RNAcentral lists this transfer RNA (76 nucleotides) under Bacillota bacterium. RNAcentral's name for it is "tRNA-Ala". It matches the Rfam family "tRNA". From Rfam's summary of the family: Transfer RNA (tRNA) molecules are approximately 80 nucleotides in length. Their secondary structure includes four short double-helical elements and three loops (D, anti-codon, and T loops). Further hydrogen bonds mediate the characteristic L-shaped molecular structure. tRNAs have two regions of fundamental functional importance: the anti-codon, which is responsible for specific mRNA codon recognition, and the 3' end, to which the tRNAs corresponding amino acid is attached (by aminoacyl-tRNA synthetases). tRNAs cope with the degeneracy of the genetic code in two manners: having more than one tRNA (with a specific anti-codon) for a particular amino acid; and 'wobble' base-pairing, i.e. permitting non-standard base-pairing at the 3rd anti-codon position. Lineage: Bacteria; Bacillati; Bacillota. The record is from RNAcentral.
GGGGUCGUAGCUCAGUUGGGAGAGCGCUUGAAUGGCAUUCAAGAGGUCGAGGGUUCGAUUCCCUCCGGCUCCACCA